RNAcentral lists this transfer RNA (63 nucleotides) under Ornithorhynchus anatinus (platypus). It matches the Rfam family "tRNA", at positions 5 to 66 of the family's 71-position model. From Rfam's summary of the family: Transfer RNA (tRNA) molecules are approximately 80 nucleotides in length. Their secondary structure includes four short double-helical elements and three loops (D, anti-codon, and T loops). The record is from Rfam by way of RNAcentral. Lineage: Eukaryota; Metazoa; Chordata; Mammalia; Monotremata; Ornithorhynchidae.
GAGUAGCUUAGUGGAAAGAGCACGGGCUUGAGACUCAGAGGUUGUGGGUUCUAAUCCUGCCUC